Molecule: long non-coding RNA, 285 nt
Organism: Lutra lutra (Eurasian river otter)
Lineage: Eukaryota; Metazoa; Chordata; Mammalia; Carnivora; Mustelidae
Exons: 2
Source: RefSeq, a predicted model, not a curated record
UAAGCAAAAGAAGACAGACAUAAAAGGUCACAUACUAUAUGAUUCCAUUUAUAUGAAAAGUCCAAAAUAGGCAAAUCCGUACAGACAGAAAGUAGAUUAAUGGUCACUAGAGCUAGGAGGAAGGGGAUACGGGGAGUGACUGUUUAAUGGGUAUGGGUUUGGGUGAUGGAAAUGUUUUAAAACUAGGUGAGGUGAUGCUUGCACAACCUUGUGAAUGUACUAAACGUCACUAAACUGUGGAUCUUCAGAUGGUUAACUGUAUAUUACGUGAAUUUUACCUCAAUU